AUUGAACGCUGGCGGCAGGCCUAACACAUGCAAGUCGAGCGGAUGAAGGGAGCUUGCUCCUGGAUUCAGCGGCGGACGGGUGAGUAAUGCCUAGGAAUCUGCCUGGUAGUGGGGGAUAACGUCCGGAAACGGGCGCUAAUACCGCAUACGUCCUGAGGGAGAAAGUGGGGGAUCUUCGGACCUCACGCUAUCAGAUGAGCCUAGGUCGGAUUAGCUAGUUGGUGGGGUAAAGGCCUACCAAGGCGACGAUCCGUAACUGGUCUGAGAGGAUGAUCAGUCACACUGGAACUGAGACACGGUCCAGACUCCUACGGGAGGCAGCAGUGGGGAAUAUUGGACAAUGGGCGAAAACCUGAUCCAGCCAUGCCGCGUGUGUGAAGAAGGUCUUCGGAUUGUAAAGCACUUUAAGUUGGGAGGAAGGGCAGUAAGUUAAUACCUGGCUGUUUUGACGUUACCAACAGAAUAAGCACCGGCGAACUUCGU
Molecule: ribosomal RNA, 483 nt
Filed under: uncultured bacterium
Lineage: Bacteria
Description: partial 16S ribosomal RNA
Rfam family: Bacterial small subunit ribosomal RNA
Source: RNAcentral